RNAcentral lists this ribosomal RNA (560 nucleotides) under Didymium crustaceum. RNAcentral's name for it is "SSU rRNA". It matches the Rfam family "Eukaryotic small subunit ribosomal RNA", at positions 19 to 522 of the family's 1831-position model. Lineage: Eukaryota; Evosea; Eumycetozoa; Physariida; Didymiaceae. The record is from RNAcentral.
AGUAGUGUAUGCUUCUCCUAAAGACUAAGCCAUGCAUGCCUUCGAAUACGAGGAAGCAAUUCUCUCUGAAUCUGCGAACGGCUCCGCAAACCAGUUGUAAACUAUAGCAAGCAAUCCGGGGGGCAGCCGUCAAAAGCGGCCCCUCGGUAAUAAGGAUAACCAUGGUAAUUCUGAGGCUAAUACAAGAACGUAAUCCCCGGCUAACCCGCGAGGGAAGGCUGGGAGGCGUGCGAGUUAUACGCGGAGGUUUUACCGGGAAAGGACGCAUGCCUGGACCGCGCCAAAGACGGAUGGGACCCAUCAACCCUCACGGGUCGGGACCUGCCCGAGCGGCUCUUGCAAUGUGCUUCUGACCUAUCAACUAGAUGGCAGCGUAAAGGACAUGCUAUGGUGACAACGGGUACAGAGGAUUAGGGUUCGAUCCUGGAGAGUGGGCCUGAGAGAUUGCUCAUACUUCUAAGGAAGGCAGCAGGCGCGCAACGUUCCCCUUGGGCAAUGCUUGAGGGCGUUAGGGGACAUAUGAAUGCCUGCCUUAUAGGUGGGCAAUUCAAAUGGGUCUG